GAGGUCUUAGCUUAAUUAAAGUGUUUGGGUUGCAUUCAGGAGAUAUAUAUUAGAAUUAUCCCGGCCUUC
RNAcentral lists this transfer RNA (69 nucleotides) under Bavayia septuiclavis. RNAcentral's name for it is "tRNA-Ala". Lineage: Eukaryota; Metazoa; Chordata; Lepidosauria; Squamata; Diplodactylidae. The record is from RNAcentral.